UGGGCCCCGCAUCUGAUUAGCUAGUUGGUGAGAUAACAGCCACCAAGGCAACGAUCAGUAGCCGACCUGAGAGGGUGAUCGGCCACAUUGGAACUGAGACACGGCCCAGACUCCUACGGGAGGCAGCAGUGGGGAAUAUUGCACAAUGGGGGAAACCCUGAUGCAGCGAUGCCGCGUGAGGGAAGAAGGUUUUCGGGUCGUAAAGCUCUGUCCUCAAGGAAGAUAAUGACGGUACUUGAGGAGGAAGCCCCGGCUAACUAC
Molecule: ribosomal RNA, 261 nt
Filed under: uncultured bacterium
Lineage: Bacteria
Description: partial 16S ribosomal RNA
Rfam family: Bacterial small subunit ribosomal RNA
Source: RNAcentral